UAGUAUAAUUAUUUGGGAUAAACGGGUCAAAAUUGGCCACCAUCACAGCCACUAUCAAAUGAAUCGAUACUUUCUUCUUCUUCUUCUUCUUCAUUGACUAUAGAUUUAGUUCUACAGUAUAUUCUCACAAACGAGCCCUAAAUCUAUAUGUAUUUAAGUUUAUGGUUUUAUUUUGUAAAUUGUUGUUCUAUUCUCAAAUGGUGUGUAGUAUGUGUAAUUUUUGUAGGUUGUCAAAUCAUCAUUUUUGCUGGAUUUUUGGUUUCUCUUAAAUAAAAAACUCGAAUUAAUUUGUUUAUUGUGACCUUUUCAUGUUCAGGUUCUUUGACUAUGUGUAUGGAACGAUUUCGGGCCUUAAAUCUCACGACGAUGAACAAAGGUAACAGAGUAACGAGCAUUAUCGGUUUUUGUGUUUUAUUACUGUUUUUUUUUUGUUCUUUUGAUAGCUUAAAUUUAGGGCCUUCACGUGGCUGGAUCUGAAUCACAAAUAAAAGAUUGUAGCUGGAUAUGGACCUAAAUUUGUGGCUUAUUUCGACACCACAUAAAAAUGAAAGGAAAAAUCAUGGGUUGCAAUUAUCCAUAUCUAUGUUGGAACUCUCCUAUGAUUCCUCAUUUGUAACCCUUCAGUUUUGAGGAUUCAUAGGAAAGAGGUUUACAUACAAAACAAAUAUGGAGAAGUUGGAUUGUAUACAUGGGACAUACUUAAGAAAAGGUCUCAUCUAGCUAAUGGUCAAUUAGCUUGUCAAAUAUGUAUAUUAUUAACCUUUUCUGACAUUUAUAUCAUGAUUAGAAGUGUACUGACUUUCUCAAGUGUAAAGCCCCUCUAAUUAUGUUUAUUUUUUUCUUUGUCAAAAAAAAUUGUUAUCAAUCUGAAUCUGUAAGCCAAGAUCUGAAUGUUUUACUAACAUCCACAUCUAAAUCUUCUCCAUUUUUUCAUUGUGAUUUAAGGUUCACAUUUAAAACAUUUCGAGUUUGAUUUAAUGGUGGAUAUAGGAAAGGGAUAUGAUGAUUCUUUUUGUUUCUUUUUAAUUAUCAGAAGGCCCUCUUUUCGAUACUAUAUGUUUAUUGUGUAGAAAAUCUCGGUGUCAACUAUGGAUUCAGUUGUUAACAAAAAUAUCCAUAAUGACCUAUCAUCCUGUACUAGUUUUCUAUCAUAGAUGUCAAUGUUUGUUAUUUGAUGGUGAAAGAAGAAGGCAUCUUGGUUAUUUUGUUGGUUCAAUGGAGAAAAGAGACUUAAAAAAUCUACUUAGAUUUGUACGUAUACACUCUCUUGAGCCUUGACCAUUCAUUUGUGUAUCUCUUUCUUUUACUUUUUGUUGACCAUAGGGUCAAGUUGAAAAUUUAUUUGCCUUCAGUUGGAUGUACUUGUGAAACUUGAUUCUGAU
Non-coding RNA from Lactuca sativa (garden lettuce), 1382 nucleotides. NCBI's taxonomy places the organism in Eukaryota, Viridiplantae, Streptophyta, Magnoliopsida, Asterales, Asteraceae. The record is from RefSeq and is a predicted model, not a curated record.